GAUGAACGCUGGCGGCGUGCCUAAUACAUGCAAGUCGAGCGAACAGAUAAGGAGCUUGCUCCUUUGACGUUAGCGGCGGACGGGUGAGUAACACGUGGGUAACCUACCUAUAAGACUGGGAUAACUUCGGGAAACCGGAGCUAAUACCGGAUAACAUUUGGAACCGCAUGGUUCUAAAGUGAAAGAUGGUUUUGCUAUCACUUAUAGAUGGACCCGCGCCGUAUUAGCUAGUUGGUAAGGUAACGGCUUACCAAGGCGACGAUACGUAGCCGACCUGAGUGGGUGAUCGGCCACACUGGAACUGAGACACGGUCCAGACUCCUACGGGAGGCAGCAGUAGGGAAUCUUCCGCAAAGGGCGAAAGCCUGACGGAGCAACGCCGCGUGAGUGAUGAAGGGUUUCGGCUCGUAAAACUCUGUUAUUAGGGAAGAACAAAUGUGUAAGUAACUGUGCACGUCUUGACGGUACCUAAUCAGAAAGCCACGGCUAACUACGUG
RNAcentral lists this ribosomal RNA (497 nucleotides) under uncultured bacterium. RNAcentral's name for it is "partial 16S ribosomal RNA". It matches the Rfam family "Bacterial small subunit ribosomal RNA", at positions 28 to 507 of the family's 1533-position model. The record is from RNAcentral.